This 467-nucleotide ribosomal RNA is filed under the name uncultured bacterium. RNAcentral describes it as "bacterial SSU rRNA". It matches the Rfam family "Bacterial small subunit ribosomal RNA", at positions 330 to 794 of the family's 1533-position model. The record is from RNAcentral.
CCCAGACUCCUACGGGAGGCAGCAGUGAGGAAUAUUGGUCAAUGGGCUUACGCCUGAACCAGCCAAGUCGCGUGAGGGAAGACUGCCCUAUGGAUUGUAAACCUCUUUUGUCAGGGAGCAAAGUCACCCACGUGUGGGUGUUGGAGAGUACCUGAAGAAAAAGCAUCGGCUAACUCCGUGCCAGCAGCCGCGGUAAUACGGAGGAUGCGAGCGUUAUCCGGAUUUAUUGGGUUUAAAGGGUGCGUAGGUGGAUUGUUAAGUCAGUUGUGAAAGUUUGCGGCUCAACCGUAAAAUUGCAGUUGAAACUGGCAGUCUUGAGUACAGUAGAGGUGGGCGGAAUUCGUGGUGUAGCGGUGAAAUGCUUAGAUAUCACGAAGAACUCCGAUUGCGAAGGCAGCUCACUGGACUGCAACUGACACUGAGGCUCGAAAGUGUGGGUAUCAAACAGGAUUAGAUACCCUUGUAAU